RNAcentral lists this ribosomal RNA (301 nucleotides) under uncultured bacterium. RNAcentral describes it as "partial 16S ribosomal RNA". It matches the Rfam family "Bacterial small subunit ribosomal RNA", at positions 509 to 807 of the family's 1533-position model. The record is from RNAcentral.
CAGUCGCCACGGGAAUACGUAGGGUGCGAGCGUUAAUCGGAAUUACUGGGCGUAAAGCGUGCGCAGGCGGUUCGUUAAGACAGAUGUGAAAUCCCCGGGCUUAACCUGGGAACUGCGCUUGUGACUGCACAGCUAGAGUAUGGCAGAGGGGGGUGGAAUUCCACGUGUAGCAGUGAAAUGCGUAGAGAUGUGGAGGAACACCGAUGGCGAAGGCAGCCCCCUGGGCCAAUACUGACGCUCAUGCACGAAAGCGUGGGGAGCAAACAGGAUUAGAUACCCGGGUAGUCCCUGUCUCUUAUAC